GCCUUCGUGAUGUAAUGGUCAGCACAUUCGGCUCGUAUUCGAGAGAUCCGUGGUUCGAAACCCGGCGAGGGCA
Molecule: non-coding RNA, 73 nt
Organism: Stegodyphus mimosarum
Lineage: Eukaryota; Metazoa; Arthropoda; Arachnida; Araneae; Eresidae
Source: Rfam